RNAcentral lists this unclassified non-coding RNA (248 nucleotides) under uncultured fungus. Its description in RNAcentral is "partial contains 5.8S ribosomal RNA, internal transcribed spacer 2, and large subunit ribosomal RNA". The record is from RNAcentral. Lineage: Eukaryota; Fungi.
AACGCACAUUGCGCCCUUUGGCAUUCCGAAGGGCAUGCCUGUUCGAGCGUCAUUACACCAAUCAAGCCUGGCUUGGUAUUGGGCGACGGGGCCGUCACACGCCCCGUGCCCCAACGACCCCCGGCGGGACGGACCGAAUCUCAGCGUUGUGCAAAUAGUCGCUGGCGAGACGGGACAGCCGUGCCGUGAAAACCCUCUUUAUACCACAGGUUGACCUCGGAUCAGGUAGGGAUACCCGCUGAACUUAA